RNAcentral lists this ribosomal RNA (919 nucleotides) under uncultured Bacillota bacterium. Its description in RNAcentral is "bacterial SSU rRNA". It matches the Rfam family "Bacterial small subunit ribosomal RNA", at positions 58 to 1005 of the family's 1533-position model. The record is from RNAcentral. Lineage: Bacteria; Bacillati; Bacillota.
CAAGUGGGACGAGACUAAUUAGGAGCUUGCUUUUGAUUAGUUUAGUCGCGAACGGCUGAGUAACACGUAGGAAUCUACCCUUUGGCGGGGAAUACCUUGUUGAAAGACAAGCUAAUACCGCAUAAGAACGAAAGUUGAAAGGAGCAAUCCACCGAAGGAGGAGCCUGCGGUCCAUCAGCUAGUUGGUAAGGUAAUGGCUUACCAAGGCUACGACGGAUAGGGGACGUGAGAGCGUGACCCCCCAGAAUAGGACUGAGACACGGCCUAUACACCUACGGGUGGCAGCAACUGGGAAUCGUGCGCAAUGGGCGAAAGCCUGACGCUGCGACGCCGCGUGAAUGAUGAAGGCCUUAGGGUCGUAAAGUUCUUUUGCCAAGAGGGUGACCUCUUGGAGAAUAAGCACCGGCUAACUCUGUGCCAGCAGCAGCGGUAAUACAGAGGGUGCAAGCAUUGUCCGGAUUUAUUGGGCGUAAAGCGUUUCGUAGGCGGAUUUGCAAGUUAUUUUUCAAAUACCAAGGCUCAACCUUGGAAAGGGGAAUAAUACUACAAGUCUUGAAUUGUAUCGGGGUCUUCGGAACUUGCGGUGUAGGGGUGAAAUCCGUUGAUAUCGCAGGGAACACCAAGGGCGAAGGCAGAAAACUAGGUACUAAUUGACGCUGAGGAACGACAGCUAGGGGAGCGAAAGGGAUUAGAGACCCCUGUAGUCCUAGCCGUAAACGAUGCUCGCUAGGGAUGGGCCCCUUAAAAGGUCCGUUCCGUAAGUUAACACGUUAAGCGAGCCGCCUGGGGAGUACGAUCGCAAGAUUAAAACUCAAAGGAAUUGACGGGGACCCGCACAACCAGUGGAGCAUGUGGUUUAAUUCGAGACGAACCGAAGAACCUUACCUAGGUUUGACAUGCUAGAUUCAAUCUUUCAGAA